AUAUAGAUAUUAUAAAGAAGUAUAAUUUUGCAUGAUACCUGAAAGUUGACUUUUCUUAUUAUUUUACGGUUAAAUUCUCUUCCUCGAUAAAACUCGUUGCGAACCCCCUCGGUUAUUCUAAAUAUUUCAUGGCAAUUAUAUCGAAUCAAUCAGCCACUGUGAAACUGUUUCGCAAUAUUUGAGUGCCAAUUUUUCAGUGGCUCGAGCCGUCGCCGAGGAUAAUCAUUGGGUUGCGCACAGUAGGCAACCGCUCCUCGCGUAACGAAAGUGCAGCCAGGGUUUUAAUCUAGGCCAAUUUAACAUUUCAGACGCUCUCUUUCUAGCUGGUGCUUUAUUUGCCGUGGCCUGAUUAUACGUCUUAGUUGAUUGGCGUUUCGCCAUAGCAGCGCACCAUCGCGAAUUUUUAUUAGCUCACCGGCGUGUGAAUGGACCACAGCCGCACAGUAUUUAUUCGCGAUUUUUGGGCAUUUUUAUCAAGAUUUCCGAGAUAGUUCGAUUAAGAUGCAGCCGGAGAGCGGACGGAGAGGGCUAGCUUUUAAUUUGUUCGAAGAUGUUCUCCGAAGCGGUAACGACUGGGCACGGGAACGCCAACGAACGGGUCAAUUAGUAGCAACGAAAGCCUCCGUGGAAUUCAUAAGCGCGGGCAGCAGCAGCGACUCGUCGUCCAGGACUUACGAAAUUAUACCCUUUCCGCAGCUGCCCACGAUCCCUUCCUCCCGUGCCGAGCGUACAAUUCAAAUCCUCGGUCACUACUCGUAAUUAGUAUACGCCCUCUUUUUCACGUGUGCACAGAGUGCUGCUCCGUAGACAUUACGAAUAAUGACUGCCAUUUCCGACAAUGGUGAUUUCAAAUUUAUCAAUAGAAUAAUACUUUAUUCAAAGUUUGCAUUGUAUGUUGAUAAAAUGUGUAGAUAUGUAAAUCGCAUGCAAAUACUCUAUUCGAUCAAUGACUGAUACUCAUCGGGUGAAGUUAAAUAUCUUCACGUUGCUACGACGAAUCCGUAUUUCGAUGUUCACGAGCAUCCCGGGUGCGACCAUCGCGCACUUAUGCGUCGAGUGCGUGUAGGCACGCCACUUACACAAUCGCAGAGGUGUCCGUGGAGAGUCAGCAUAGGGUGUGAGAGUGCGUAAUAACUUAUUCCGAGCCUUAUUAUUACGAACGACUGCGGUAGGCCAGUAGCGGUCAAGUGCGCGCGCGCGGGUAUUCACUGCAGUGAAGAGACGUCGGUUGUUACAUACGUCGUCACUAGUUCUCUCCGCCUGCCAAUGAGCGACGGGAUGACGGUGCGCGUUGACAAAAUCUUUCCUCGUUAGUCAUGAUGGUCUACAAACAUGGUUAUUUGCCUUUUUGGCGAUAUACCGUUUAGCCCUCGCCUGCUUCGGAAGAGCAUUCUAUUAAGCCUAAACGAAUUCUGACGAGGGAGCGAAAUCCCCUAUAAUCGUUAUCGCUGACGAUCUUUUACCUGUGGUUUCACAGAUAUUUAACGAAUACAAUUUUUUUUACAAAACUGUUAAAAAAGUUACUCGCUUUUCUGCAAGACGAUAUAAAAUUAUAUCACGAUGCAGCUUAAGAAAACUCGUUGUGCAACUAUUUAUACGAAUUCGUCAUAGGGCGCAUUUAGGAAAGUAACGCAUCGAUCUCCUCCCCGUCACGACGCCUCGAAACGGCUUUCACUCUGGGAAGAGUGACGAUCUCCGGUUAUUAUUGGCGCCAAAAGACCGCCCACGUAUGUGCGUAAAUGCAAGCCGCACGCAAUGUUUGGCAGCGGUAGCCGAGCCUAAUUCGUUUUUCCUCGUAACGAUCGUAAGCGUAUCUGCGAACAUACGACUUGGCAUGUACUCAAGACGAAUUAAUUAUGACGCAUUGGCGGAAUGUAGUUUUUACGUCAUCCUAGACAAUUAUUCUGAAUAUACUUGUCGCGUUUAUGUUAAGGCCGCUCGAGAUGAAAUCUGUCAAGAAUAAUUGAUCUGAAAGAUUUCACGGCGUUAUGCCGUGCUGAUAGAAAUGUAUUUUAUUGGUGAAACAAAAUUGAUGGAAAAAUAGUUGAAAGUAACAAAUGCGCUUCCACAUUUUCUCGUGACAGCGGCGAGCCCUCCUCAACUUCCACUAACGUUUCCAACUCCCGCUCGUGGUUUGCCGCGCUCUCUCUCCGCACACGUGGGCACACGCGGUCGACUCGUGCCCUCGUGUGCGUGAGAACGCUCGGUCGCUCGAGUAUGCGAGCGGACGUCGGUUGAGACGAGUCUCUCGUGAGAGCGUGCAAGGGAAGAGAAAAGAGCCGCCGGUGAGGAAGAGGGAGGGAGCGUGUGCUGCCGGAGAUGGUGGCGUAUGUAGAGGUGGAGGUGGAGGAAGGAGCUGGUCCUCUUGGGAGCAACUCGUGAGAGCGCUCGUCCGAGCGGGGAGAGAGAGAAGCCGAGAACCCGCUUAGUCCCACGCGACGGCUCGUGGCUCCUCGUGGCCGACGCGCGUCGCGUCGCCCCUGCAUCGCCCUCUUCGUCCGGUCGUGAGGAGGAGGCGGGAGAGUGAUAGAAGACGAGGAGAGUGGGAUCCUCGCGCUUAAGGUCGCCACGAACGCCGCGACCUCGCCGAGCAUUUAAAUGGAAACGUAAGUCGGAGAUCGCGUGGGCACAUCUGCGCAGGAAAUAUUCGUGCGAGAAACCUUGAACGGAAGAGCGAACGCGGCCAAUGACACAAAGAACGUCCGCUAACCACUCGCAUGAUUUAUUAUCGAUUUCUCGAUGCGAUAUCACUCGUCCAACACGUUGUGAAUGCUCGAGCAUACCUGUCGAUCGUUCAUUCUCUUGCUUCGGUUAGUGGAACGAGGAGUUGUUGAACUAUAAUAAAGAUGUGAUAAAAAAGGAUUUUUUGCCGAUUAAGACUAUGUAAAUUAUAUUUCGAUAGCUUAGAGAAUAUAUAUAAUCGUGUUUGUGGAAAUUAAAAAUUACAUUACAAAA
Molecule: long non-coding RNA, 2955 nt
Organism: Linepithema humile (Argentine ant)
Lineage: Eukaryota; Metazoa; Arthropoda; Insecta; Hymenoptera; Formicidae
Source: RefSeq, a predicted model, not a curated record